UUUUAUUGGGGAACAAAAAAUUCUGGAGAAAAUCCCAUCUAAUGAGGAUUAAGGGGGGCAGCAUCCCAAGGUCAGGGGCGACAAUUGAGUCUUCAGGGUAGUGGCCAGACACGCCUUCGCACGGACAAGCCCUUGGACCUGAGAAGGGUGGGGAAAGCUCUGGACCCAAGAUGUGCCUAAGCGCCUCUCACCCAGCCAGGGAGGUAACUCAAAUCACGUGCCAGGAUGGCCUCCCACAUAUGGGUGCAAAUCUCCCUGGGUAACGGGCUGCUUCAGUUAGAAAUGUGUGAGGGUCAGAUUCAGCAGGAGGGGACACAGCCUCAGUGUGCCUAGGGAUGUCCUGUUAGCUGGAUGAUCAUCACGGAUGAUGGACUGUAGGCACAAGACAGGGGUAAGAAAAGACCCAUUUCAGUGGCCUCACAGCAGAGGAAGUGAGGGUGCGUUCAGAUUAGGAACAGGCAUGUCCUCGAGGAGGGAAUCUGAAGGUGACGGUGUGGGUGGGGGGAGGUGGGAGCAGGAGCCACACUCUGCCCUUCCCUGGUCCUUCCGAGCAGCUGAGGCAGGAAGAUCAAGAGUUCAAAGCCAGCCUCAGCAACUUAGCAAUGCCCUAAGCACCUCACCAGACCCUGUCUCUAAAUAAAAUAUAAGAAAGGGCUGGGGAUGUGGCUCAGUGGUUAAGCACCCCUGGGUUCAAUUCCUGGUACCAAGAAAAAUAAAAAUAAAAAUGAGGAGCAUUUCUUCUAUGGAAGCCAACAGAACCAACCAAAGGGACAUGAACCCUGGGGGGAACGUGGUGCCGUGUUGAAGGGCUUGACUCUCAGAGGCGCCCUCCUUUCUGGCUGUUUUCUGUAUAAAGGGAGUGUUUCCAAUGUGUGGUUCUGUGGCCCCACUUCGCUGUCCACCACACUGGUCUCCCACACUCGGGAGAACUCCAAUGCUUGAGCUAGCGCUUGGGCAGCUUGUACCCAGCAGAGCUGAGGGGUCAGCACUCGUGAGCACCCAAGGGUGUAAAACCCUCCCCAAAGCAGAGUCAUCUCCAACCUGAGCCGGGCUGGGCAGUCUGGCCCCAGCCUUCUUCCCCCACCCACUGCAGAUCGUAAGCCCCAGGCCAAAUGGGACUGUGGACUCCAGGCCCUGUGGGUUUCGCAGGUGCACGUGUAAACUGCCCCCUGGAGCCACCAGUCCUGUCCCCCACCCAUGUCAUGAGCUCCUCAUCCGUGUCCCACUCGGCAGCCUUGCGGGCUGGCUCGUACCGUCUGGUGUCUUUCUCUGCCUCUCUGGGGAGAAGGGCAAUGGGGGCCUGACUGCCUGACAGCCUGCUGGUGGGCUGGCAGAGACGCCAAAGAACCUCUUCACCUGCUCAGCGGGCCUCCACUCCUGGGGACAAUGACAUCUGUAACUGUCACACAUUGGGGACAACGGAACAGAUGUGCUUCUGCUUCUGCCUCACCCUCAGCAAGGGCAGCCCCAGGCCCA
RNAcentral lists this long non-coding RNA (1476 nucleotides) under Marmota monax (woodchuck). The record is from RNAcentral. Lineage: Eukaryota; Metazoa; Chordata; Mammalia; Rodentia; Sciuridae.